GACGAACGCUGGCGGCGUGCCUAAUACAUGCAAGUUGAGCGCUGAAGGUUGGUCCUUGUACCAACUGGAUGAGCAGCGAACGGGUGAGUAACGCGUGGGGAAUCUGCCUUUGAGCGGGGGACAACAUUUGGAAACGAAUGCUAAUACCGCAUAAAAACUUUAAACACAAGUUUUAAGUUUGAAAGAUGCAAUUGCAUCACUCAAAGAUGAUCCCGCGUUGUAUUAGCUAGUUGGUGAGGUAAAGGCUCGCCAAGGCGAUGAUACAUAGCCGACCUGAGAGGGUGAUCGGCCACAUUGGGACUGAGACACGGCCCAAACUCCUACGGGAGGCAGCAGUAGGGAAUCUUCGGCAAUGGACGAAAGUCUGACCGAGCAACGCCGCGUGAGUGAAGAAGGUUUUCGGAUCGUAAAACUCUGUUGGUAGAGAAGAACGUUGGUGAGAGUGGAAAGCUCAUCAAGUGACGGUAACUACCCAGAAAGGGACGGCUAACUACGUG
RNAcentral lists this ribosomal RNA (497 nucleotides) under uncultured bacterium. RNAcentral's name for it is "partial 16S ribosomal RNA". It matches the Rfam family "Bacterial small subunit ribosomal RNA", at positions 28 to 507 of the family's 1533-position model. The record is from RNAcentral.